AGGAAUAUUGGUCAAUGGACGAGAGUCUGAACCAGCCAAGUAGCGUGAAGGAUGACUGCCCUAUGGGUUGUAAACUUCUUUUAUAUGGGAAUAAAGUGAUCCACGUGUGGAUUUUUGUAUGUACCAUAUGAAUAAGGAUCGGCUAACUCCGUGCCAGCAGCCGCGGUAAUACGGAGGAUCCGAGCGUUAUCCGGAUUUAUUGGGUUUAAAGGGAGCGUAGGUGGACAGUUAAGUCAGUUGUGAAAGUUUGCGGCUCAACCGUAAAAUUGCAGUUGAUACUGGCUGUCUUGAGUACAGUAGAGGUGGGCGGAAUUCGUGGUGUAGCGGUGAAAUGCUUAGAUAUCACGAAGAACUCCGAUUGCGAAGGCAGCUCACUGGACUGCAACUGACACUGAUGCUCGAAAGUGUGGGUAUCAAACAGGAUUAGAUACCCUGGUAGUCCACACAGUAAACGAUGAAUACUCGCUGUUUGCGAUAUACAGUAAGCGGCCAAGCGAAAGCAUUAAGUAUUCCACCUGGGGAGUACGCCGGCAACGGUGAAACUCAAAGGAAUUGACGGGGGCCCGCACAAGCGGAGGAACAUGUGGUUUAAUUCGAUGAUACGCGAGGAACCUUACCCGGGCUUAAAUUGCAUUUGAAUAAUCAAGAAAUUGGUUAGUCGUAAGACAAAUGUGAAGGUGCUGCAUGGUUGUCGUCAGCUCGUGCCGUGAGGUGUCGGCUUAAGUGCCAUAACGAGCGCAACCCUUAUCUUCAGUUACUAACAGGUCAUGCUGAGGACUCUGGAGAGACUGCCGUCGUAAGAUGUGAGGAAGGUGGGGAUGACGUCAAAUCAGCACGGCCCUUACGUCCGGGGCUACACACGUGUUACAAUGGGGGGUACAGAAGGCCGCUACCUGGUGACAGGAUGCUAAUCCCAAAAGCCUCUCUCAGUUCGGAUCGAAGUCUGCAACCCGACUUCGUGAAGCUGGAUUCGCUAGUAAUCGCGCAUCAGCCAUGGCGCGGUGAAUACGUUCCCG
Molecule: ribosomal RNA, 1016 nt
Filed under: uncultured bacterium
Lineage: Bacteria
Description: bacterial SSU rRNA
Rfam family: Bacterial small subunit ribosomal RNA
Source: RNAcentral